Molecule: small RNA, 30 nt
Filed under: Bombyx mori (domestic silkworm)
Lineage: Eukaryota; Metazoa; Arthropoda; Insecta; Lepidoptera; Bombycidae
Description: ovarian small RNA-1300
Source: RNAcentral
CUCGUGAGACACAGUGUCAAAUGCCUUGGC